GAUGAACGCUGGCGGCGUGCCUAAUACAUGCAAGUCGAGCGAACAGACGAGGAGCUUGCUCCUCUGACGUUGGCGGCGGACGGGUGAUUCACACGUGUAUAACCUACCUAUAAGACUGGGAUAACAUCGGGAAACCAUAUCUAAGACCGGAUAAUAUAUUGAACCUCAUUGUUCAAUCGUUAGAUACGGUUUUUCUGUCACUUAUAGCUGAAUCCGCGCCGGAUUAGCUAGUUGUUAACGUAACGGCUUAACGAGGCUGGGAUGGGUAACCGACCUGAGAGGGAGGUCCGCCACACUGGAACUGAGACGGGGCACCGACUCCGAGGGGGGGCAGCAGUAGAGACUCUUCCGGGAUGCGGGAGAGGCUGAUGGAGCAAAGCCGCGUGAGGGAUGAAGGUCCUCGGCUGGGAAAACUAUGUUAUCAGGGAAGAACAAAUGUGCAAGUAACUAUGCAGAUAUUGACGGUACCUAGACAAAAAGCCCCGGCUAACUCCGUG
RNAcentral lists this ribosomal RNA (497 nucleotides) under uncultured bacterium. Its description in RNAcentral is "partial 16S ribosomal RNA". It matches the Rfam family "Bacterial small subunit ribosomal RNA", at positions 28 to 507 of the family's 1533-position model. The record is from RNAcentral.